GGGUGGGUAGUGUAACCGAACAACACGGCAGCGUCCGAAGCUGCAAAUCCGGGUUUGACUCCCGGCCCGCCCACCA
RNAcentral lists this transfer RNA (76 nucleotides) under Acidobacteriota bacterium. Its description in RNAcentral is "Acidobacteria bacterium tRNA-Arg". It matches the Rfam family "tRNA". From Rfam's summary of the family: Transfer RNA (tRNA) molecules are approximately 80 nucleotides in length. Their secondary structure includes four short double-helical elements and three loops (D, anti-codon, and T loops). The record is from RNAcentral. RNAcentral also lists the same sequence under 6 other names. Lineage: Bacteria; Pseudomonadati; Acidobacteriota.